This 200-nucleotide long non-coding RNA is filed under the name Volvox carteri. RNAcentral's name for it is "long non-coding RNA (VCAR_LNC003719)". The record is from RNAcentral. Lineage: Eukaryota; Viridiplantae; Chlorophyta; Chlorophyceae; Chlamydomonadales; Volvocaceae.
CGACAAGAUCGCCCACGCAAGAAAUACAGCCAGCAUCGUCCAGUGGAUGAGUUUGGAGUACAUAAGUUUGCCAGGGCAAACAAUCAAAGUCAAUUUGCUCUGGUCGUCUCAAAAGUUUGUCCUAGCAUAGCUUGCGUAGCUAGUAUUGCCUGGUUUUAGUUGUUGCAUGUAAGCUUGUGAGUUGGUGGCCUGGUUCAUGC